Mirounga angustirostris (Northern elephant seal) is the source of this 107-nucleotide small nuclear RNA. NCBI's taxonomy places the organism in Eukaryota, Metazoa, Chordata, Mammalia, Carnivora, Phocidae. The record is from RefSeq and is a predicted model, not a curated record.
GUGCUUGCUUCAGCAGCACAUAUUCUAAAAUUGGAAAAAUACAGAGAAGAUUAGCAAGGCCCCUGUGCAAAGAUGACACACAAAUUCAUGAAGCAUUCCAUAUUUUU